GUUAGAGACCUCAAGAUUCCAUAUAUUGUAUCGUAUCGGCUUUAUCUCACUUCUCUUCCAGAAACCUCCUCCACUACAGAUUGAACAUUGACAGGCGAUUCUCGCCACCAACAUGGACGAUCAUCAUCUAUUUUUCAUCCGUUCCUUACUCGACCAUCUUCACCGCCUCUUUAUCGACUUCACCUUCUUUCUGCUUCUCGCAAUCCUCACAUUCUUUGGAAAAAUCCGGUCGGCAUCACUACCACACCACCAACAUUCUAUAGUAUCUCCACGACUAUAUGUCGCUGGGUGGAUGGGUUUGUAAAAGGCAAAAGUGAAUCAAGUUUUCUCGCCGUUAGUAGUUCCUCCACGUUUUCUUCGCUUCUCUCGCAACACCGUCUAAUUCUUCUUCUUCUCAAUCAGUUGACAGGAUAACCACCGCUACCAAAAAAGCCCUAAGCUCAUCGACAGUGGAAGAAACGACGAUGUCUUACCGUUUGUCCAUGAAAUUCGCAACACGUUUCGUGGUUUGGCUUGACUUUCAUUCAACAUCAAAAUCGUUCUUUCAACACAUACAAUACCGCCUUCCUUCAGUAUCCUCUUGCUUCCAAUCAAAUAACAGAUCGAUAGACGCAAAAAGAAAGGAAAAGGUCGCUUGACCCGGACCCUGCCUCCUCACCGUCGAUUAUAGCUGUGCACCCUCCUAUGGUGCUAGGGCUCUAAUGGGACGACCGGUGUUACCGUGUUAUGAUCAAUCGAUGAUUGCCUCCAAAAUUUUAGUCACAAUUUCUCAGUCAGUGGCGUAGAUACGAGCAUGUUAACGUGAAAAUAUGCUCGAUUCGUAUAGCAGAGGGAGAACAAGAGGUUCCUAAUUGAUAACUCUUACUUUAUACCUACAACAAAGGGCACCAUAAUUUCGGGGCAACUGAGUAAACUUCGGCCACUUCAUCUCCUUUAUGCUCGAUUGAGAAAAACACAAGCCCAUUUCUAUGGCUACUAACCUCAACUUCUUCUCCUACAUUUAACUACAUGGAUUUAACUACAUGGAUGGAUCCCUGCUUCGCUUAUAUUUUUCAAGUAAACCAAGCCCAAGAGUACUAACCUACUUUUUAAAUAUAUUUUUAAAACAAUAGUUGCUUUAAGUAAAAUUAGUGUCAAGACUUUUGUAUUUGUUAUCUUUAAUAUAUUUUAAAAACAAUAAUUGCUUUGACUAAUUUCAUGUGGGUUCUGUGGAUUGGUUUUCAUUUACGUGUUUCUGAUGACCAUUUGGUAUAAUCCUGUUGGCUUUUGCAUAGGUUUAAUGGCACUACCUAUGCCUUUGUGCAACUACCACCAUUUCCGUUAGCACUACCUUCGUUGAAAAUCACAGGUGGUUCAAUGGCAAGGUACUAACUGGACCUAAAUCACUGCAGACUGCUUAAUUUCUGAUUUUACCCUUAUCUACCACUCGGGAAGCAAAGAGUGGAGGAGCUUGAAUUUAUAUUUGUUAUCUCACUGUCUUAUCCUAAUCAUCUAAUAGCUUAUUAGAUUCUUUUCAUUUAUGUAUAUCUAAUAGCUUAUUAGAUUCUUUUCAUUUAUGUAUACGUUAUUAGACUACAGUUUGUUAUUUGUCUAUUGUUUUUCUAUUAUAAAUUGUAGGUCCAGCAAUAGGUUAUUGAAAUUGUCACCCAUAUAGCUUUUACAACAUCAAAGUUGGCAAAAAAAUGUUUCCUACUUUGCAUAUCAGGUAAUUUUUAAAUUGUAAUUCUAAUUUCAUGUAUGUGAAUGAUAUAUAAUAAUGGAUAUUUGUUCUUUUUCUUAUAAAAAUAUUAUAACGCUGGUUCGAUAUUUGAAGGGCUACAUCAUCCAAAAUCUAACCAAAAUAUAAUAUUUCCUAAUAUGCCCUUCCUUCCUUGAUUUGUAUCUGUAAUGUCAAUUACUAACUUUUGAAGGUAUCUGUAAUUUGGAAUCAUUUCAUGCAGCCGAUUCAAAGUUUGACCAAAAUAUCCUUAUUAAGGAGUGUGCGGUAUCAUAGAAAAAGGGCUUGUGAAGACCCCAACCCUAUGAUGGAUUGAGGAAGAGGUAACUGUAAUAUCGCAUCUAUUGGUCGUUCUUGAGCUUCUCCUCAAGGAAGGAAUCAACAUGGGAAUAUUGCAUUUCAAGGGACAAAUACAAUGGGCCAAGGUGCAUCAUCAUAUUACAGUGGUGUAGCACCACCACUUGCUCCUCCUCCGCCACCUCCACCACCACCUUCUGUCAUGUACCCACCGUAUGGGUGACUUUUUCUUACACUUUGUGAAGUUUAGGUGAAAAAGUGAAGUUAAAAAAAAACAUUUAUAAAUUGAUAAAGAAAGUUGGUCUUGACAGAGGAUAAGUGGGUAAUGGGGGAAUACAUAUACAUAUAUGUUGUUGAAUUUUUUAUAAUUACUUGUGUUCCUUGCUUUAUUGCCAAGUUGGUUGCCAUUGCAGGUUACAUAAAACUGCAGACAACCUUCAGCUUUUUCAGAUUUAAAUGGUCUCAAUUAACUCUUUAUAUUAAUUAUAUAAACUCAUCAAUUAGUAAUUUUUUAAUGAAAAAAAGAUCGAUAUAAUUCGCUAUAAAAAUAGGAAAAUAUGUUCGGUUGUUUUUAAUUUAGGUUUUUGAAUCUACACUUCUUGGUUAAACUGUUUGUUUGAUUUACCAAGUUCUUUUCCUAUAUUAGUUAGUAUAUAAUGUCAGCUAAUUUAGUUAUUUCAUUUAUUUAAUGAGCUUUUUAUCAAGGAAUUUAUACUAAAAUCCGUCUAAAUGUGAUUGUAAAAGAAGUUGUUAAUUUGGCCAUUUGGGUCAUAAUGAUUUCUUCUACUAGGUAUUGAGCUUUGAAAAAUCUAUCUAAUUAUAACAUUGUACUUUUAAAUAUUUUUCUAAUUAUAACACUGCAGUCGAACGCAAAAAGGGAAGAAAGUUUCCCUUUUUUGCAUGAAGUCAUAAAGAAACAGAAAAAAGGAAAGUAUGUUGCUUUUUAACACGAUAAAAUAAAUCAUUUUUCAUAUUUACAGUAUGGCUGUUGUCUGAAGUGCUUUCUGCUGUUUUGUCCAUUUUACCCCUGCUUGGUAAAAACUUUAUACAAAAUAAUCCUUUUGUGAUGUUCAGAUUUUGGUAUUCUUCUCAAUCUAUGAUGAUAUCAGUUACCAUCAUGGACUUUUUAGGCAACCAAAACCACCUAAUCUGGUAUUAUCCACGUGCAUUUUUUGCAUAAUUUUUUUUUUGUCUAAAUCGUUUUAAUAUAUUAAUUGCUGUAAUAUUUUUUGUCCAUAAUGGAAUAAGAUUUCUCUAUGAAGAAAGUGUAUGGAGGGUGUUGGAUUGAUACAAUAAGUCUGACACUAUCCAAAAUGAUCUUAAAAUUAGUCUUUAUUUUCUGAUUUAUUUUACUUAAAUGAUGUUACGGAUUCCAUAAAUAUAAGCCAUUUCUCAUGAGGUUGGAGUCGUUAAAGAAGAUAGUAAAGGCUGGAAUUUGUCCCACCAUCUCCUGGACAUAGAAAAACUUAGGAAGAAGAAAUACUCACGGAUUGAAGGCUAUGCAGGACAUUAAAUGCACAUGUUAGCAAUGAACUUUCAUUCAUUAGUUUAGACUACUUUUAGAGUUCGUUUAUUAGGAUAUUGUAAUCCUAGGGUUAUUGGUGCUGUAUUGUAACUACAACUGGUGGAUUGACAUUAAGCAGUCUGCAGUGAUUUAGGGAUUGGUUGGUAUGGACAAUUUCAGAUUCUAAUACCCCUCCCGACCCAUUCUUUUUAAGUACUUAUUACUCUUGCCAAUUAA
Molecule: long non-coding RNA, 3755 nt
Organism: Lactuca sativa (garden lettuce)
Lineage: Eukaryota; Viridiplantae; Streptophyta; Magnoliopsida; Asterales; Asteraceae
Source: RefSeq, a predicted model, not a curated record